UACGGGGGGAGCAAGCGUUGUUCGGAUUUACUGGGCGUAAAGGGCGCGUAGGCGGUCGUGACAAGUCACUUGUGAAAUCUCCGGGCUUAACUCGGAACGGUCAAUUGAUACUGAUGUGCUAGAGUGCAGAAGGGGCAAUCGGAAUUCUUGGUGUAGCGGUGAAAUGCGUAGAUAUCAAGAGGAACACCUGAGGUGAAGACGGGUUGCUGGGCUGACACUGACGCUGAGGCGCUAAAUCUAGGGUAGCAAACGGG
Molecule: ribosomal RNA, 254 nt
Filed under: uncultured bacterium
Lineage: Bacteria
Description: partial 16S ribosomal RNA
Rfam family: Bacterial small subunit ribosomal RNA
Source: RNAcentral